CGUAGGGUGCGAGCGUUAAUCGGAAUUACUGGGCGUAAAGGGCGCGUAGGCGGUUUGCUAAGUUGGAUGUGAAAACUCUGGGCUUAACCCAGAGCCUGCAUCCAAAACUGGCAAACUUGAGUACUGGAGGGGAAAGCGGAAUUCCUGGUGUAGCGGUGAAAUGCGUAGAUAUCAGGAGGAACACCGGUGGCGAAGGCGGCUUUCUGGACAGUAACUGACGCUGAGGCGCGAAAGCUAGGGGAGCAAACAGGAUUAGAUACCCUGGUAGUCCUAGCCCUAAACGAUGGAUACUUGGUGUGAGGGGGAUUGAAUCCCUUCGUGCCGUAGCUAACGCAAUAAGUAUCCCGCCUGGGGAGUACGGUCGCAAGGCUG
Molecule: ribosomal RNA, 372 nt
Filed under: uncultured organism
Description: bacterial SSU rRNA
Rfam family: Bacterial small subunit ribosomal RNA
Source: RNAcentral